RNAcentral lists this long non-coding RNA (4256 nucleotides) under Capra hircus (goat). RNAcentral's name for it is "lncRNA (ENSCHIG00010004859.1)". The record is from RNAcentral. Lineage: Eukaryota; Metazoa; Chordata; Mammalia; Artiodactyla; Bovidae.
AUGUACCUUAAACAAUGCAAACGAUUUAUAUGGCUGAUUUUUACGGAGUGGGGAAAAGAAAAGAGAUGGGGGGAGGACGACUCCAUAACCUUCCCAUUAUCUCACUGUUCUGGAGAAGACUCAGACCCAGCCUCUCUUCAUCACUGCUUAGAACCACCAGAGCUAUUUAUUCUGACAACUUUUCAAGCAAAGACACAGGCUCUCCUUGCUCGCUUGGUGGAUGGCGAGGUGCCCAUUCUUUGCCCCUUUUCUCUUCUUUCUAAGGAAGAGCUUAGAAAGACCGAGGCCGGGAUUCACAGCGACUCCACUCCCCCCGCGGAGCACGCAGCCGGGAGCGGCCCCAGCUGCCGCCUUUCCCCGGGUCUGUCCCGGAGAGGGGUAGGAUGACUUACAGAUUUGUUUUAACGGUGUGUUGGAGAGCUGUGUGGCCUCCUAAUUACGGCAGAACACAGAACCAUUAGCCCUUGAAGUUUCAGGCGCGACUUCGGGAAGAGCCGCGACCCAGCUCCCCGCGUGCAGAAGACAUUGGGGAGGGGGCGCUGACGAGGGAGGGGGAGCUCCUUGGAACAGAACUCCUCGCUAGAGCUGACUGUUUCAGCUAAUCUAAACUGGAGAAGGCAAAUAUACAACAGAGCCGAGGCGAUCAAAGCUGGCCCCUGCCAGCUCCCUCCUCCCGCCCUCUUUCCCGCCCCAAAGUCUGUUUGUAGUUGUCUCCUGUGCUGCAGACACUCGUCCGUCUUCUCACGACAAGGAAAUUCCUGCCAGUUUUUUCCAGAGCCUGCAAGGAGAGGACAGACGCACUUCACACUUCCUACAGGAGAAUUCCCUUUGUCUUAUCUCCCCUCCCCCAGUCUUCCCUCGGCUCUGAAAUGGGGGGAGAGGCAGCCCGCGGAAAGACCCUGGGCGCUGAAGGGGCGAUCGUAAUCGAACCCCACUUUCAACUCUGCCGCAGUAGGCCCCCUCCCCCCUUUCUCCUCUUGUUUUCCCCAUCUUUCUCCUCCCUUUCUUUCUCCUUCCCUUCUUCCAAUCCCCUAAAUGCUCUUACCAUUGAAGUGUUCUUGAGGGCUCUCGCGCCCAGAGCCUGGGCAGGCGCCGUUUAUUUCCCGGCCUUAGUGGUUUGGCGGGAAAGGGCUCCGUCCUGGCUUGUCCAUGGGUGUUUGGGACAAAUCCUUUUGUCUGUGUCUAUAUGUGGAAUGGGAAGCAUUAUGGGUUGAUAAUGGAGCACAGAAGGAAGAGGGAAAAAACAGAGAAACUACAGGCACUGGGAGAGUCGCCACCUGUGUCUUUUGCAGCCAACCUGCGAUGGGAGCCCAGGAUAUGGAAACUUUUCUAGAUGGCUCAUGACCUCACACACACACACCCCUCUCCCCCCAGCUGCCCUCAUCUGUUCUUUAUUAUCCUUACUCUUACUCUUCUGAGUUCUUCCCUGAGUUUUCUUCCAUUCCCCACCCCCCGCCGCCCCUAGGACUUCCCAGGGCUCUAUAGUUCAGUGAGCGACUGAGAAAGAAGGUCGGUUAAGAGUCUCACCAAGCAUCCAGGCACUCCUGUGACAUCUCCCAGAACCGGCCUGUCCUGGGCCGACACUUUCGUGCGUUCUGAAUUUCAGCCAAUAGAGCCCUCUCUGGUCACAUCCAUCCCCAUUGCGAGGCCAGACUGCCACCUCCAUCCUGCCUCUGAAGUACUCGGAGCGGCAGGGGAGGCUCCGCACUCAUCAGACACGUGCGUCUCCUCCUGCCCCUCCCCCUCCCCCGCGGCCACACGCGGAAUGCACAUUGAUGACACUGACACACUCACUCGGGCACGCGCCAGCGGCGUCGAUCCUCCUUCCCUGCCAGGCGGCAGCGGGCGAGACGGCCUUGAGGCAGGUGACAGCCUCGGGGAGAGAGACUCCGCGCUCCAGAUGCCACCCUGGGAGUGGGGGUGUUCGGGUCCCCCAACGCCAGCGGCGGGGCUCCCCGGCCGGGUGGCCAUAGGCCUCCCUGUGGCGGAGCCUCCGGUCCGCCUCCUGCCGUGAUCCCCGCUCCGCCCCAUGCUCGGCGCCCCGCACUGCACCUUCACCGCCGCAGCCCGCGAGCGCCCGCCUCCGAGAAGCCUGCAGUCCGCCCCCUCGCCUCCACUGGCUCGGUUACAUCUGGGACGCAUUGCCCCUUAAUUGUCAACCCCAUCGCUGUGAUCAAGUGAACGUUGCUAAUCUCUGCAUUUAUUGUUUAGGUAAAUAGAGGCUGCGUUUAAUCAAUACGCGGGGCCCUAGCCCUCGCAGCGCCAAGUAACUUAAGUCAACGGUGAAGAUUUCAGUGUGUGCGUAAUUAUAGAGCACACGGAAUAUUCACUCCAGCCUAAUCCCACAUCCCACCCGGGGGAGCGAGAGGAGGGAACGUGAGGAAUCUCCACCCUCCGAGGGAUCGAAGGCCGGCUCCCUUCGAGGAAGAAAAGGACUUGGCUGUGACGCCACGCGCCAGGCGCAGGGGCCUAAGACUGGACUGGGGACCGUCCUGACAUCCGAGCGGCUAAAGCCGGCGUUCCGCGCUGUCUUCCCCAGGCUUCUGGCCCUCUCCGCUCCAAAUGUGCAGCGGUGAAAAGGGUGGUCCCCCACCCGCAGGUCCCCACCAGACAGGAAGACUGAGGGCGGGGCCCGGGAAGGAGGGUGGGGCUGUAUUCCCCAAGCCCAGGACUCCGCCAGCGGUCAGGGUCUCUUUCUCUCUUCUCAGCUCUGAGCCGCCGAGCUCCUUGCCCCACGGGAACUCUCGAGAACGCCAAGCUGGAGCGCACAGAGCUCUGGGGUAUUUGCGCAUCUUCUUAAACAGCUAUUGUUUCCUAAUUAAGAAGACCUUAGCCCAACACUAGGUAGAGCUACUGGGAUUCGCCGCAGGGAGUGGGCAGGCCUGGGGAGGUGGGCGGUCCGCACUGGCGGGAGGUGACGUCCGACUCCUAAAGCAGCUUGGCUGCUGGAGUGGCCUUAAGAGCGAGGACCUCUGGGCUCGGCAGGGAAAGGGUUAAUUAGCUGGGACUCAUCCGGGUGGCUUUGGCAAGAACCCAAUCUCUGGCGUCGCGCUAGAGUGGGGCCUAAGAGGUUGCACCUCCAGUUUGAGACACUAACGCUCUCUCCUUGGGCAGUUGGUCGCUAGAGUUUGUUUCUCCUGGUGCCUUUUUCUCCUCUGCAUUCCCGGGAAUGUUCGAUAUAAACAACGAAUAACUUCGGUUGUAAUCAGAUACUCGCCUUGUACGGAAUUGCCCCGCUUUUAAUAAGCUGGAUUCUAAAGUCAACUGAUGAUUUGCAAGUUUAGGGUGUCAGCGCAACCACGGAACUAAAUGACAGCUGAAGCUUGAAUGGGGGCCAUGGUUCUGGAUGGUAGCUGGCUGGUUUUAAUUUUUGGAACUGAACAGCUCUCGUAUAAGGUAUCUCUUUCUAGCUUUCUCUUUCCCAUAAAAAUUGAAUAGCAUUUAGAACAAGAGGAAAAUUAAACACAAAUGUCAGAGCAAUCCUAAAGUGCUUUUUCUAACACUUCUUCCUGAGAAUCCUGUCUGCCAGCCUCAAGCUCCCACCAAGCCUUUGACUCUCCUUAUCAGCUAUGCAGAUCUUUCACUGCCCUGCUGCAAAUCAGCCGGCCAGUCAGUUCACAGGACACAUAGUAUCAGACUUCUUUGAUUGGAGACAACUUAACUUUUUCUAUAUUGUGGCUGAUGUCCAGGGUUUCUGGAUGAGGACAAGCCCUUUGGGACUCUCAGGAGCUGGGUGCAAGUUAAGGUCCACCGCUUAAUGCUGUGACCUUGAGUGGGCUAGGAAGCUUCUCAGUUUCUUGUUCUCUAAAAUGAAGCUAAUAAUUUCAACUUGAAAGGAUUGUUGGUAUAAAUAAAACUGUGUAGGGAAAUUCCUAGCAAAUGCUCAGUACUUAUUAAUAGUUGCCUUCCAUUUGCCACUGAAAUUCCCAACUAAAAUGUUCUGUGAAANNNNNNNNNNNNNNNNNNNNNNNNNNNNNNNNNNNNNNNNNNNNNNNNNNNNNNNNNNNNNNNNNNNNNNNNNNNNNNNNNNNNNNNNNNNNNNNNNNNACUGAAAUUCCCAACUAAAAUGUUCUGUGAAACUAAAGGUAAAAUCAACAGCUACUCUAAUAUAGAAUUUUAGUGCAUAUGGAAACCACAGGGCCUAGUACAGAAUCAGACUGAAGGAGGAUGAAUGCAAGGACAGCCAGCAGCUGCCUGUUUGGGAAGGAGUGAGAUUAGCUGCUUCAUUCAGCAACAUAUCUCAUGGUCUGACUUUC